GUUCGGAUCAAGUGCUUGAGCAUUAAAAAUUUAAUGACAUGAAUGUCCCUGGACUAAUUUUCCUAGGAAAUCAUGUCCAUGUCAAUAAUAUUGCUACUGCCUAGGUAAAAUGUCAGACCUUUUUUUCAAAAGAUUAAUAAAAAUUUCAUGUUUCAAUAUUCAGUUUUACAGUUGUAUAUGAAUAUGUCCCCAGACUUAUUUUCUUAGGUAAUCGUGUCCAAGUCAAUAACAUUCCUAGGUAAAAUCGUCCAUGCCC
This 256-nucleotide long non-coding RNA is filed under the name Mytilus galloprovincialis (Mediterranean mussel). Lineage: Eukaryota; Metazoa; Mollusca; Bivalvia; Mytilida; Mytilidae. The record is from RNAcentral.